AUACUUACUUGAACGGGGUCGAUGGGUGAUCAACAAGACCCAUGGCUUGGGCUUGUGACCUCCAUUGCACUUUGGUGGGGUGCUUGCCUAAGGUCGGCCCAAGUGGUUGAGCCUAUGUCAUAAUUUGUGGCUGAAGGGGCCGGUGUUUGCGCGGCCUCUA
Molecule: small nuclear RNA, 160 nt
Organism: Lycium barbarum (goji berry)
Lineage: Eukaryota; Viridiplantae; Streptophyta; Magnoliopsida; Solanales; Solanaceae
Product: U1 spliceosomal RNA
Exons: 1
Source: RefSeq, a predicted model, not a curated record